Molecule: non-coding RNA, 23 nt
Filed under: Rattus norvegicus (Norway rat)
Lineage: Eukaryota; Metazoa; Chordata; Mammalia; Rodentia; Muridae
Source: RNAcentral
GAAUGAUCAAAGGACUCUGGAAC